CCUACGGGAGGCAGCAGUGGGGAAUAUUGGACAAUGGGCGAAAGCCUGAUCCAGCCAUGCCGCGUGUGUGAAGAAGGCCUUCGGGUUGUAAAGCACUUUCAGUGGGGAAGAAAGCCUUGGGGCUAAUACCCUCGAGGAAGGACAUCACCCACAGAAGAAGCACCGGCUAACUCCGUGCCAGCAGCCGCGGUAAUACGGAGGGUGCGAGCGUUAAUCGGAAUUACUGGGCGUAAAGCGCGCGUAGGCGGUCUGAUAAGCCGGUUGUGAAAGCCCCGGGCUCAACCUGGGAAUGGCAUCCGGAACUGUCAGGCUAGAGGGCAGGAGAGGAAGGUAGAAUUCCCGGUGUAGCGGUGAAAUGCGUAGAGAUCGGGAGGAAUACCAGUGGCGAAGGCGGCCUUCUGGACUGACACUGACGCUGAGGUGCGAAAGCGUGGGUAGCAAACAGGAUUAGAUACCCGUGUAGUC
RNAcentral lists this ribosomal RNA (465 nucleotides) under Vreelandella stevensii. RNAcentral describes it as "partial 16S ribosomal RNA". It matches the Rfam family "Bacterial small subunit ribosomal RNA", at positions 338 to 795 of the family's 1533-position model. The record is from RNAcentral. Lineage: Bacteria; Pseudomonadati; Pseudomonadota; Gammaproteobacteria; Oceanospirillales; Halomonadaceae.